This 301-nucleotide ribosomal RNA is filed under the name uncultured bacterium. RNAcentral's name for it is "partial 16S ribosomal RNA". It matches the Rfam family "Bacterial small subunit ribosomal RNA", at positions 509 to 807 of the family's 1533-position model. The record is from RNAcentral.
CAGCCGCCGCGGGAAUACGAAGGGUGCAAGCGUUAAUCGGAAUUACUGGGCGUAAAGCGCGCGUAGGUGGUUUGGUAAGAUGGAUGUGAAAUCCCCGGGCUCAACCUGGGAACUGCAUCCAUAACUGCCUGACUAGAGUACGGUAGAGGGUGGUGGAAUUUCCUGUGUAGCGGUGAAAUGCGUAGAUAUAGGAAGGAACACCAGUGGCGAAGGCGACCACCUGGACUGAUACUGACACUGAGGUGCGAAAGCGUGGGGAGCAAACAGGAUUAGAUACCCGUGUAGUCCCUGUCUCUUAUAC